UGGGGUCACUUCUAUAAUGCUGGCUGUAACUAACAAAGACGUGGAAGAUCUGCAGAGGGACACCGGCCUGGCACAUCUCCCUUUCUAGAAGAUGCAUACUUAAAUGAAGAUGAAUAAAGAUGAAUAAAGGUUUUGUGAAAUAACUACUGGGUUCCGGUGCCAUCUCUGGAUGCCCGGGGAAUAAAAGAACCAGGGUAAAAUUGAUUUCUCAACAAGACUCAAGCGUUUUGUAUCACUGUACAUUGAAGCUUUUUAUUACAAACAAUUUACAAUACUGAAAAAAUGACAGGAAGUAUUGUUUUCUGAAGUAACAAAGCAAAAGACCGCUGUCUCUCUUCAGUUGCUGAAAUACUCCACAAGAGACCCGAGUCAUGACAGCAAAUUGUCAGGGGUUGCUGAGUGGAUGUGGAGAAAAGGACUCAAACGCAGGACUCACGGUGAAGAUGCAGGAUGUUUAUUGUGAGGGACGAAUGACGAAAACAGGAGAUGGCUGACUGACUGACUGAAUAACUGAAUAACUGAAUGAACGGCUGACUGAUCUGAACUUGGGAGGCAAACAUGGGGCAUAGACAGCAGUGACAACAUUAAUGACGCGACGCCGACCAAGAGAGAACUGAGGACUUAAAUACACUGGCUGAACAAUGACUGAUAGGUGACAGAUCUAGAAAAAGAGAGACAGGGACAUGAGCUCUGAACUGUAAGCAUGGUCUGCUUCUUUUGUGUCCGGUGAAGGAGCAAACAAUGGAGAGGGCGGUGAUGUUCCAUCAUUCAUGUUGUGUAUAGACACAACCUGUGACGCCUCGCUGCUGUGUUGCCUUACUGCUGUGCUGCCUUACUGCCUUACUACCGUGGUGUCUCGCUGGUGCCAUUAAAGGACCGGCGGCUGCCAUCCAUUCAUCCAUCCGGACCUCGAUUAUUUGGACCGAAGUACUCACACACACGCCCGCACUCAGUGCCAUACACUCUCUUUAUUUUGCUGGCCAGCUAACACCAUUGUUUUUUGUUUUUUUUGUUUUGUUUUUGCAUUCACAAAGACUAUCCAAAGACAUUUUGGUUAUUGUCAAAUAGACACUCUCUGAUUACGGACUGAGGAGGUUGUGGUGUUACAACCCCAGGACUGAGAAAAAAAAGACUCUUUACAUAAUAUAUUCACUUGUCUCCUGGUUAGGAGAAGUGGCUAUUGAUGGAAAUAUUUUUUUUCUUCUUCUUGUCUUUGUUUACAUUGUAUCCCAGAGAAGUUUUAAGUUGUUCAGGUUGAAACAUUUGCCCUUAGAGUUGGUUAAGUUUCCUUUGAUGUAUCAGUGUCAAGCUGAUGUUUAAGAGGGUAUGUUAAGGACAGAUGUGCUCCAGUCCAUCAAUCCUUUAAAGUGCUGGACACCGAUGGUAAAUUGCCAUCAGACCCUAAAUAAAUUGUCCUC
Molecule: long non-coding RNA, 1418 nt
Organism: Maylandia zebra (zebra mbuna)
Lineage: Eukaryota; Metazoa; Chordata; Actinopteri; Cichliformes; Cichlidae
Source: RefSeq, a predicted model, not a curated record